Molecule: transfer RNA, 85 nt
Filed under: Felis catus (domestic cat)
Lineage: Eukaryota; Metazoa; Chordata; Mammalia; Carnivora; Felidae
Rfam family: tRNA
About the family: Transfer RNA (tRNA) molecules are approximately 80 nucleotides in length.
Source: Rfam by way of RNAcentral
GCCUGGGUGGCUCAGUCGGCUGAGCAUCUGACUUUGGCUCAGGUCAUGAUCUCACGGUCCGUGAGUUCGAGCCCCACAUCGGGCU